GCCGCCUUAGCUCAGUCGGUAGAGCAUCGCAUUCGUAAUGCGGGGGUCACGUGUUCGAGUCACGUAGGCGGCACCA
This 76-nucleotide transfer RNA is filed under the name Rhizobiaceae bacterium. RNAcentral describes it as "tRNA-Thr". It matches the Rfam family "tRNA". From Rfam's summary of the family: Transfer RNA (tRNA) molecules are approximately 80 nucleotides in length. Their secondary structure includes four short double-helical elements and three loops (D, anti-codon, and T loops). Lineage: Bacteria; Pseudomonadati; Pseudomonadota; Alphaproteobacteria; Hyphomicrobiales; Rhizobiaceae. The record is from RNAcentral.